AUAGUUUUUCAGUGGUUAGAAUAAGUGAUAUUGGUUUGGCUAAGAUGCAGGGUGGAAUGAUGUUUGCCAGGCUUGAUGAUUCGCCCAUGUUUCGUCAGCAGAUCCAAGCUUUUGAGGAAGAUGCUGAAACAUUGAGGGAUAAAUGUCUCAAGUUUUACAAAGGAUGCCGAAAGUACACAGAAGGGCUUGGGGAAGCAUAUGAUAAAAACAUAGCUUUUGCCAGUUCUCUUGAAACUUUUGGAGGAGGGCACAAUGAUCCUGUUGCUGUUUCAUUUGGAGGCCCUGAUAUGGUACAAUUUGCUAUCGCUCUGAGAGAAAUUGGAACAUACAAAGAAGUUCUUCGAUCACAGGUAGAGCAAAUAUUAAAUGAUCGAUUACUACAUAUGGCUAGCAUUGAUCAUCAAGUACAGGAAGCUCGGAAGCGUUUUGACAAAGCUGAUGUAGCUUAUGACCAGGUCCGCGAGAAGUUUCUAUCGUUGAAGAAAAAUACUAAACUGGAUAUAGUUGUAGCCAUUGAAGAGGAACUUCAUUAUGCAAGGUCGACUUUUGAGCAUACCCGCUUUAAUCUGGUUGGAGCUCUUUCUUCCAUUGAGGCCAAAAAGAAGUAUGAAUUCUUGGAAUCAGUUAGCUUGACAAUGGAUGCUCAUCUUCAGUAUUUCAAACAGGGGUAUGAACUGUUGCAUCAGAUGGAGCCUUAUAUCAAUCAGGUCCUGACCUUUGCACAACGGGCUAGAGAGAGUUCGACACAUGAGCAGGUAGUUCUCAAUGAAAAAAUGCAAGAGUAUAAGAAGGAAGUUGAUCAACAAAGCAGGCGGUCAUUAAAUAGUCCUCACAAUUCUUCAACUGCUGAAAUCACACAACAUUCUUCCAGAAGUUCCCAGAAAGUGAUAGAGGCAGUAAUGCAGUCAGCUGCAGAAGGAAAGGUGCAUGCUUUGAGGCUUCACCCCUACUAGCAAAUACUCCCUCUGUCCCAAUUUAUAUGAGGUAGUUUGACUUGACACGAAGUUUAAGAAAUAAAGACGAACUUUUGAAACUUGUGGUCUAAAAUAAGUCAUUGAUAUAUGUGUGGCUAUAAAUCAUCUCAUUAAAGGUAAAACAUGCAUUUUAAGGUUAAAUUAUUACUAAAUAUAGAAAAGGUCAUUCAUUUUGGGACUGAUAAAAAGGAAAGUGAGUGGUAUAAAUUGGGACAUAGGGAGUACCAUUCUGGCUGUUUUUGAGAUUCUUGUUAUUACUUGCAAGAGCUCUUCUGAUUACUAUUUCUACAGCUAAGAUUUCAAAUAGUGUAGGUAGAAACUAUAAAACAAGGGUAUCUCUCAAAGCGUUCCUCUAAUUUAAGAGGUGACUGGAAGAGAAGAUUCUUUGUUCUAGAUAGCAGAGGAAUGUUGUACUAUUAUCGAACACUAAGGAGCAGGUCCUCUUUUCAGGGAUCUUCCAAUCCACUCUCUUCACAUUACCAUGGAGGUGUACAUGAUGAAAAACCUGUUGCACAUCGCACGGUGAACCUACUGACAUCAACAAUAAAAGCAGAUGCAGAGCAAUCGGAUUU
This 1546-nucleotide unclassified non-coding RNA is filed under the name Hevea brasiliensis (rubber tree). Lineage: Eukaryota; Viridiplantae; Streptophyta; Magnoliopsida; Malpighiales; Euphorbiaceae. The record is from RNAcentral.